CCUACGGGUGGCAGCAGUAGGGAAUAUUGCUCAAUGGGGGAAACCCUGAAGCAGCAACGCCGCGUGGAGGAUGACGGUUUUAGGAUUGUUAACUCCUUUUGUUAGAGAAGUUUAUGACGGUACCUAACGAAUAAGCACCGGCGAAAUCCGUGCCAGCAGCCGUGGUAAUACGGAGGGUGCCAGCGUUAUUCGGAAUCACUGGGCGUAAAGAGUGCGUAGGCGGGGUAAUAAGUCAGAUGUGAAAUCCUGUAGCUUAACUACAGAACUGCAUUUGAAACUGUUACUCUGGAGUGUGGGAGAGGUAGGUGGAAUUCGUGGUGUAGGGGUGAAAUGCGUAGAGAUCAAGAAGAAUACUGAUUGCGAAGGCGACCUGCUGGAACAUUACUGACGCUGAUGCACGAAAGCGUGGGGAGCAAACAGGAUUAGAUACCCUUGUAGUC
RNAcentral lists this ribosomal RNA (440 nucleotides) under uncultured bacterium. RNAcentral's name for it is "partial 16S ribosomal RNA". It matches the Rfam family "Bacterial small subunit ribosomal RNA", at positions 338 to 795 of the family's 1533-position model. The record is from RNAcentral.